This 108-nucleotide ribosomal RNA is filed under the name Chelonoidis abingdonii (Abingdon island giant tortoise). Lineage: Eukaryota; Metazoa; Chordata; Testudines; Testudinidae. The record is from RNAcentral.
UUUUGCAGCCAUACCACUUUAGGCUAAGAUCUCAGAAGCUAGAACAGUUGGGUCUUGUUAGUACCUGGAUGGGAUAACACUAAGGACUGGCCAGGAUCAGUGCUGAAC